RNAcentral lists this unclassified non-coding RNA (511 nucleotides) under Hevea brasiliensis (rubber tree). Lineage: Eukaryota; Viridiplantae; Streptophyta; Magnoliopsida; Malpighiales; Euphorbiaceae. The record is from RNAcentral.
ACAAAAGGUUCCAAAACAUAAUUGCAUCAACUUUAAUAUAACAAAUUUCAUACCGCCCAUCUAUUUCAAUACUCGAUAAAAUUCAAUUAUUGAACUGCUUAUCAAGAUACAAUAAAGAAAAUGCAUGAAUUGGCUUGCUCAUAUCCAAAGAUUAUGCUACACUUCACAUGAAAGAGCAAAGGAGAGUUUGACAUGGAUAUGAGUUUGGUACUUUUAACCGAUGACAUCUCAAGCAAUGAGGUCCAAUGCCAAAGAUGGCAAUCAGUGUUGUCAUAAGCGAUCUAGGAUAAGUGACCAAGUGAAAAAAUCAAUGGCGUUAGAAAUCAAAUGAAUAAGCCAAUCAUAAGAUUGCAAAUCCAUGAUGAUACUUUAUCAUCUCAUCUAUGCAAUAUAUCACCUAAACAAACAACUUGACUAUGAGGCAAAGAUACAAAUGAAAUAUAUCACCUCAUCAGUGAAACAUUUGCCAGGAUGUCUAGAAUGAAAAUAAGGCAAAGUUAUAGAGAUACAA